UCCCCCAUCGUGUACUUCUUCUCCUCAUAGUUUGAGUCUGUGUACUCCAGGAGCAGGCGGAUGGAGUGAGCCAGCUGCGAGAAGCCACGGCAGAGUCAGGGGCGAAAAGUCAGCCUGCCUGCCUUUCUCUGCUCCAGAGGCCUGUGCGGGACAGCAGUACACACUGUGUCACAUAUCGAGUCCUAGUCCCGACCUCUAGUCUCGCUUCUGGACUGCUCGCCAUACCUUCCAGCUCCCCUGCUCACAUGCUGAACUUGCAAGUUUAAUUCACAAAAAUUCUAUGUAAAGUAGCCUCAGAAUGCAAAGCUGCCUAUGACAAAUGAAAACCAACAGUAGAAUUAAAGUGUGUCCUACUCAUGCCCUAAUCAAGUCAACAACUCAGCUCACCUUGAAAGCAAAACAAGUAGCCUUGACUGAUAUGCUCCCAAACCAAGAAACUACUACUCUGAGAAAGGAACAAAGCAGUAAAUUUCUUAUGUUAACUCUGCAAAAUAGUCUGGAAAACUGAUAAAACUUAUUGUCUCUUUAAAAAUAAACAUUUAGAGACCAUCUGGUGGGUCUGCAUCCCUAGCUCUUUGUCUUGCAACCGCCUGUAAAUCCGCUAGACAAUGCACCACCACGGGCUCUCUUGUCCCUUCCUGGCUCACCCCAGGAGCUCUGUCUGUCCUCUCACUGUAUCUCUCAAUAAAAGUCUCCCUGGCUCUUCUACCUUGACUGUUUGCUAAGUUCAUUCUUCAACUCCACAAACAAGAACCCCAGCAUCACUAAGUCAGGGACGUCUUCACUGGAAAAGGUCACUACCGCUCACCUCACUUCAGAGACCCUGACAGCAGAAGAGAACAUCCAACUGGGACAAGUGCAGGGAAAUUUAUUAAAGGGAAAUUGUGGAUAAAAUGAGAGUUCCUGUGGCCAGGAUUCUCACCUGCCCCUGGUUGACUAGCUCACUGCACACCUGUGGGCUAUGCAUGGCUGUUGACUCUAUAUAAAGAGCUCCACCCAGUGCUCUGGGCAGGACAUGGUGGCACGGCUCAAGGCUGCAGGAGAGCAGAGCAGAGGACAGAGACCCAGAAGACGACUGUGCGGGACGACUGUGCAGAGAGGCCCAGAGGACGGCUGUGUGGGAUGACUGUGCAGGCAGAGAGGCCCAGAGGCAGAGACCAGCUUGUUGAAUGCAGACUUGCUCUGAGUGAAUGGGAUUUUAGUGACUGACCUGCCACCUGGAAAUAAAGUUGGGUAUAACCCUUUCACCUCAAGAACGUUUUGCUGUCAAUUUCUUUGGUCACAUUGAACCCAUGGUGAACUUGCCUGGGGCUGAAACCCACUGGCAAGACAGAAGUGGAUAGCUUAAGCUUUCAAGGAUACCUGCAUUCUCCAGGGCUUCAUAAUGAGUUCGGCUCUGGGAUGAAGGGAGCAGCUGGCUUUGUAAAGGAAGGAAAUCUUCAGGCUCUGAAAAUGGGUAAGGAGAAGAGCCUGACUCAAUAUCUGGAACCCGUCAGAGCGCCAGCACUGAAGGCCCAGAGAGCCAGGGAAGCUGGUGGCAGCUCUGCUCUCUGGGGUUAACAGUGACAAAGAAGGAAGCAUCUGUGAACUCAAUCUGGGCUUUUCAUCCAACCUCCUUGAAACGAAAAGGGAAACUUAAGUAACGCAGGGGUUAACCAACUUCCUUAUGCUCCCUUAGCUAGUAAGUGGGAGGGCUGGAUUGCAGACUGGCCCUGACUCCUGGGCCUGUGCUUUUUCUGUAAACUCCUCUCACUGCCCCCACCCACCCUCAACCCCUGAAGAGGACUCAGUAUUCUUCUGUUUCAGGUGGAGACUCAUAUAUUCUCAAGGGCUGCAAACUUGAGCAGAGCAAAGGGGCUCAGAACACGCCUGCACAACUUGCAAGAGAGGCUGAAUGAGUCAGCAAAGCCUGCAGGUAUGUGGAUGGGAGAUGCAGAUCAGCAAAGCUGGGUGUGCCAGCCUCUCAUUAUUCCUCUCAGAGGAGAGGCUGAAACUUCUCAGCUUGAUUUUGGGACUGUCUCCAACUUCCCAGUGUGCUCUCGUAACUCUGUCUCCUGAUACCCUGAAGCAGGACAGUCUUAGGGGCAUAAUGUGAGCUGGGGAUUCAAGGACUAAUAGUUUCCCCAGAACCUGGAAAGGAUUACUGUGACCUCAUUUUCUAACACUAAAACCUUCACACCACUUCCUUCCACACUGCCUUUGAUGGAGUCAACAAUCCCUCCCCAGCUAUAGCUGUUCUCCACACCUCUUCCAAGAAGAACCUUCUGGCUUGGGAGAAAGACCUAACCACCCACUGGGCUCCCCUCUGCAGAGCCUGACCUGGAAGACGUGUCCCCCUGGUCUUCCAUGCCUCCUUGUCCCUGAGGGGCCAGCUCGGACAGGAUUGAAGUUUCCACUGGCCUCAGCUGUGGAUGGAGCACAGAACUCGUCCUGGAUAGUGCUGUGAAGGGCUAACAGGCUGGUUCCACCCACUCCUGCCCACUUGGCCUGCCAGGUGCUCUGAGACCUGGGAAAUGGGAAGCCUCCAACUAGAGACAUCUGGGUGAUAGAAUCCGGACAUGAGUGCCACCUUUCAAAGAAGCCCACCCGCCAUCACAGAGAGACCUAGGUGUCAUCUUACCUCGGCUACAAGCAUCCUCCAGAGGACACAUCAGCAAGCCACAAGCCCACCUUUCCCCUGACCCCUCUCCUCAAAGAGCCCGCCAAAACCCUGGCCAUAAAAAGCCUCUUGACCCAUUAGAGACCCUCUCCUUUGUUCUGCUGGCCAGGACAGAGGGGUCCCUCUCAGGUUCAGCAAUAAACCUGCUUGGACUGUUGAGUUCACAUCCCCUCUCUUCUUUCACGGGAGAAAAAGUGAGGUAGGUUUCUACCUUUCAACACCAGGA
Molecule: long non-coding RNA, 2885 nt
Organism: Manis pentadactyla (Chinese pangolin)
Lineage: Eukaryota; Metazoa; Chordata; Mammalia; Pholidota; Manidae
Exons: 3
Source: RefSeq, a predicted model, not a curated record